Long non-coding RNA from Felis catus (domestic cat), 2156 nucleotides. RefSeq lists it as uncharacterized. The record is from RefSeq and is a predicted model, not a curated record. The transcript has 2 exons. Lineage: Eukaryota; Metazoa; Chordata; Mammalia; Carnivora; Felidae.
UCAUGACUCUUUCUUAGUUGUAACUGCUAGGAAAUCCUGAGUGGAACUUGUAGCCGACCUUUCCUUAAGCAAUAGCGUGGGAUUUUUACUGCACGCACUUGUGGGUAACAGCUUUUCCCUUUCCUAUAGCCUCGUCUUAAAACUGUACCUUUUAAAAACAUUUUUGCAUGGAUUUAUUUAUCUACCGCAAAUGGCAUGCAGAGGAGAAAAUGCGGGCUGGUGGGUGGGGCUUCCAGAGCAGGCAGUAAACUGGAGUCUAUUUGCUUACACAGAUUUAAUCUCCAGUGUUGAUGGCUGACCCUUUCAGCCCCAGCUGCCCUAGAUAGGAGCACCUCGCUGGAAAAGUGGACAGUGUGGUCACUGAGAGAGGUAGGAAGGAAAUGACUGUCGAGAUACGUGUUGCUAAUCAGCUCCAAAUGUGACGGUUCAAUCAAGACAGCUAAGUUACGAUGGAAGGCAGAGAUGAACUUUGGCCUUGCUGAAGGAUGAUGGCAAGAGAAUCAUCAGGUCUCCAAGACGGUUGGGAAGGCCCGAUUAGUGUUUCUGGAAUGUGUGUCAUCAUAAAAAUCACCAUAGGCAGCGAGCAAGCCAAGCAUUUUGAGAUUUGUAACAACUUGUAAUCAGUCACCUGUCUGAUCCCGAGUUUUGCCAGAUUCUGAAACACCACAUUUCCUAUCACAGGUCCGUCCCAUCAGAGCAAACCUUCACCUAAGUGGUUGUUCGGCUCCUAAUGUGUGAGUUUCUUGGAAUAGCCCCAUAGGCAGCGUCUCAAAUUCUUCCCUCUAGCAGCUCAUCUGGAAAGGAGGCACCAGGGACUGUAUUCUACUUAUGGCUGAAAAGCUUCCGUGGGUCUGUUACUCCAGUCGGCAGACCGUCAGGGUUGGAAAUAGCAACUCCGGGGCAAGUGUUCAUGCCUCCUGCCCCCGCAGCCCACUCCGCUUCUGUGAACUCAGCAGUGACUGGACACAGGCCGAUCGCCUCCGUUUUCUCGUUUCGAGGCCGCGUGCACCCGGACUGUGCUACACGACACAGGUCAAUAUUAACCAAGACUUAACCACGCCGACUAGGAUACGAUGGACUCUCCCCAGGUUAAAACAUGGCCUCAGACGGAAGCGGUCUACUACACGGUUGAACAGGAGAAAACAGUUCCUACUUAGCACAACCCGCCAAUGAAGGCUGGUUUCCCAUCUGUUUGCAGGAGGAAAUUAGCCAGCCCAGCCACACAACCAAAUGCCAUGAGCGGCCUCCACGGUCACCCUAUCUGAUGAUAAUACAGGGCAAAGGUAGACAAUUCUGCUCUCCCAAAUGAUGUGAAAGCCUUUUCUCCUGGAAAAAAAAAAAAUCUCCAUUCCAGUUUCCAACAGCCUGAGAACCAUCUCAGCAAGAAAAAACAGUCAGUCAAUGGUAUGGAGUUGACUUUGACAAUUGUUCAACAACAGUUUCACAUGUAUGGUAUGUUUCCUAAAGUGUACUUACUCUCUAUUUCGUAAUCUGUCCGUCACUCACCAUUAAACGACAGCAGGUUUUUACAAGCAGCGGAUCAAUCAUUAUCAGAGACUGAACAUACUUCAUACACAGGCGCUCACACUGCGUUUCACCCCGUCUGUUCUUCUGAGCGGUGCUGACAUCGUUGUUUCCCGAAGGUGGUGGAUGUCAUGGAAUUCGAGCCUUCAGGCCCCCUCCUACCCAUCUGUGAGGGCUUAAUGGGAGUUUUCUUUCUCCUUCCGUGCUCUGGACACAAGGAAACAUGGGACAUCCAAAAAAGCCUUCGGGAGUCCAACUGCAAAACCCAUGUCAGUGACAUGGUGUGAUGGAUGAUUUUAAUAUGACAAGCUUAGGUAUGCGAACAAGCUAUGUUUAUCAUUCUUGUGGUACCGUGAAUGUGGUUAUUCUCGUGAACGUGUCAUUCCUGCAUGUCCGGUAUUGAGAUGAAUUUGCUAAAACUGCUUUGGCCUUCAAGUAAGCUCUAACUAACUUUGUGAGUCUGUAUGUGUCUCUGUAUGUCAGAUAAACUUACCUCUGUCUUUGCUGUUCUAAUUGAUUGUGUAUACUGGAAAGCAAGAAGCAAACGUGGCUUUUAGUAACCAUAUUGCUUUUUUUCUUUGCAAGUGUUCUGUUCUAUAAACUACCUUCACGUGAAAUCAUAGUCUCCAUGG